RNAcentral lists this ribosomal RNA (253 nucleotides) under uncultured bacterium. Its description in RNAcentral is "partial 16S ribosomal RNA". It matches the Rfam family "Bacterial small subunit ribosomal RNA", at positions 524 to 776 of the family's 1533-position model. The record is from RNAcentral.
UACAGAGGUGGCAAGCGUUGUUCGGAAUUACUGGGCGUAAAGGGCGCGUAGGCGGCCAUCUAAGUCAGACGUGAAAUCCCCCGGCUUAACCUGGGAACUGCGUCUGAUACUGGACGGCUUGAGUAUGGGAGAGGGAUGUAGAAUUCCAGGUGUAGCGGUGAAAUGCGUAGAUAUCGGGAGGAACACCAGUGGCGAAGGCGAUCUUCUGGACGGAUACUGACGUUGAGGCGCGAAAGCUAGGGGAGCAAACAGG